CGGCCGCGCUCCGCCAUGAUAGUUAGGGCGGCUCCGCCAGGCGAGACACCUGCCGCCAACUCGGAAGUUCCUCCGCGGGGUGGAGCCUCGCCGCCACACGGGCCGAGGCGCCUGUGGCCCGCUCCGGAGCAGGGGGCCGAGCCGCAGCCUCGCCCAGGCCUCUAGUCCGGACCACAGGCCUCUCCCACUGGAUGACAGGCCCGCGCGCCUUCGCAGCAGUCCCGCCCCCGGCAACGGCGCCGCUCUACCGCCACGCGCCGCGGCCGCCUGGGCAAAGCUGCCUCUGCCUCGACACCCCCGCUCGCAGAGUACCCGGAGGCUUUGCCCCUCCCCAGGGAACCGAACAGGGAUGGGGGCUAGUGGGGAUUCAUUCCGCGCCCUCCGGCCCCAACUUCCCUGCCUUUGGAAUCCAGCGUGACUAGAUGUUUUUUUUUUCUCUUAAGUUCUGAAACAGAAAACUCUGGGGGAGGUUAGUUCUCAGCCUCUAGCUCACACCUAUGAAUGGCCCCUGAAGUGUCAAAUCAAUUGCCUAGCCUGUCCUUACGGCUUUUCCACUGAGAAGUGGAGGGGUUGCAGGCCUCAGGAAGGAGACUGCCUAUACCAGCCCCCUUUUACAGAUUCAGAAGGCCAACCUUCUGGAUAUUUUGGUCUGCAGAGCUGGAAUCCUCUGGCUUGAGGGGAUAUGGCAGUUUUAGAAGGCUUCAAAUAUUUUCACCUGGGCUGGACCCAAACUAACACGGCUGCUACUCUGAAAACUAUAUAAACUGAGAUCCAAGAAGGAGACCAGCUGGGAAGGAAAAAGAAGCAUAAGAAGAAAAGAUCUGGAAGAAGAAGAAGAACUCACCUCCAAGACACUGCCUGAGAACAGAGCUGCUAGAAUCCUAUGCAUGACCAUCACAUGCAGAAACGAGAUGAGACUGACCUUGUCUGGCCAACAGGGAAAGUCCACCUAUGUGAUCAGGAUUGCACUUUGGAAGGGACAUUGCUCCAAAUCCUUAGCUGCAGCCAACGAGUACUCUGCACAGUUCUGGAAUGGCAGUGAUACUGCAAGGUUGCUCUUGCUAAAAGGGUGGCAGAGCUGUUACGAUAGUGUGCACUUCCUGUGAGCCCCAAGAGGAGUUUUGUCUGGUGCUUCCACUGCAGCUCAGUGACUUCUCAUCACGUCCAAUGCAGGUUUGGACCAGAUUUUCAUUUACAAUAA
Molecule: long non-coding RNA, 1201 nt
Organism: Dermochelys coriacea (leatherback sea turtle)
Lineage: Eukaryota; Metazoa; Chordata; Testudines; Dermochelyidae
Exons: 5
Source: RefSeq, a predicted model, not a curated record